This 64-nucleotide transfer RNA is filed under the name Streptomyces sp. KMM 9044. RNAcentral's name for it is "tRNA-Arg". The record is from RNAcentral. Lineage: Bacteria; Bacillati; Actinomycetota; Actinomycetes; Kitasatosporales; Streptomycetaceae.
GCGAAAACGCACGGGAAUCGGACGGCCUCCGGAGCCGUGUGCGCAGGUUCGAAUCCUGCCGGGG